Molecule: ribosomal RNA, 492 nt
Filed under: uncultured bacterium
Lineage: Bacteria
Description: partial 16S ribosomal RNA
Rfam family: Bacterial small subunit ribosomal RNA
Source: RNAcentral
AGUGAACGCUGGCGGUAGGCCUAACACAUGCAAGUCGAACGGCAGCACAGUAAGAGCUUGCUCUUACGGGUGGCGAGUGGCGGACGGGUGAGGAAUACAUCGGAAUCUACUUUUUCGUGGGGGAUAACGUAGGGAAACUUACGCUAAUACCGCAUACGACCUACGGGUGAAAGCAGGGGAUCUUCGGACCUUGCGCGAUUGAAUGAGCCGAUUUCGGAUUAGCUAGUUGGCGGGGUAAAGGCCCACCAAGGCGACGAUCCGUAGCUGGUCUGAGAGGAUGAUCAGCCAAACUGGAACUGAGACACGGUCCAGACUCCUACGGGAGGCAGCAGUGGGGAAUAUUGGACAAUGGGCGCAAGCAUGAUACAGCAAUACCGCGUGGGUGAAGAAGGCCUUCGGGUUGUAAAGCCCUUUUGUUGGGAAAGAAAGGCAGCGGGUUAAUACCCCGCUGUUCUGACGGUACCCAAAGAAUAAGCACCGGCUAACUUCGUG